GCCGUCGGUAGUGCAACGGUUCAGCACGAGCUCCCAGAAAGAGUGAGCUCUGGGUUUGAUACCCAGCUGAAGCA
This is a non-coding RNA of Parelaphostrongylus tenuis, 74 nucleotides long. NCBI's taxonomy places the organism in Eukaryota, Metazoa, Nematoda, Chromadorea, Rhabditida, Metastrongylidae. The record is from the annotation of a GenBank genome assembly.